This 92-nucleotide transfer RNA is filed under the name Polaromonas sp. P1-6. Its description in RNAcentral is "tRNA-Ser". The record is from RNAcentral. Lineage: Bacteria; Pseudomonadati; Pseudomonadota; Betaproteobacteria; Burkholderiales; Comamonadaceae.
GGAGCGUUGCCCGAGCGGUUUCACGGCGCACGUUGGAAACGUGAUGGUCGCAGCAUUGCGGCACCUGAGUUCGAAUCUCAGACGCUCCGCCA